This 857-nucleotide long non-coding RNA is filed under the name Bos taurus (domestic cattle). RNAcentral describes it as "long non-coding RNA NONBTAT025900". Lineage: Eukaryota; Metazoa; Chordata; Mammalia; Artiodactyla; Bovidae. The record is from RNAcentral.
UUGCUUUCUUAGGAUGAGUAAGCAAUAGAAGACCUAUUGGUAUGAAUAAAAUAAUAUCUGUGAAUACACUUGACUCAAGUGAACCCAACAAAUGGAUUUUAAUUCUUGCCCUAGACCAGCAGUAGAAACUCAGCUGUAUAAAUGAUCAGUUUUAUAAUCAAUAGUUUGAAGAUUUUUACCGAAGGAAUUAACCAAGCUUUUAGGCAAUGUUUUUGCAGUUUAUUCAUCUUUAUCUGCAAAGUAAGAGGGAAAACACUGAUGUAUCUGGCCACGGUAGAUAAUGUCUACAGCCCUGAUUCCAAGAUGCAUAUCUAUUUUAUGUUUAAAAAUAAAUUUACCUCUAUAUUCUUAAUGGGAAAGCGUGUUCAAUUCUAAUGUCUGUUGGCUUACUAACAUAUCUAGAGCCUCCCAGAGAGGUGCAUUUCAAUGAGAUCCACCAUUUCAUAUUGACAUUAAGAACAUUAAGAACAAAGUUAUUUUUAGUUCUUUGAUCUGAAAGUGUUACCCAUGUAGGAUUGCUCAGUAUGUCAAGAGAGGGAAGUGGGAGGCGUUCUGGAAAGGUGUGGAUGUGCGAUAACCUAAUGCCAUCAGAUAAGAAGAUCCAAAUAGGAUUUUAGAACAAAUCCUUCCUCUGUGUUUCAAGCACUUAUUAGAACAAGUCACAAUGAUGUUUUCUUUGGCAGGCUUGUAGAGCAUUUAUCAGCCAGUGGGUUCUCCACUCUAAAAUUUAUGAUGCUUUGAGAGACUCACAAAAGCCUGUACUUAGAGCUUUAAAUAAAGUCAAAAUGAUAGUUUUCCUGCCCUAUGAAUUUUCAUUAUUGAAAUUAUUAAAGGAGCAGUAAACUUUCCUGCUUUUU